UUUUUUGGGGGCAACAGUGUGGCACCAGCAGCGGCGGUACUUCCAGCUCCAGUAGAGUAUAAAAAAGUUGCAGCAGUUAAAAUGGUAGUAGUACAAUGUGGGGCCCGGCGGGGUGGUCCGCCCUGCGGUGUGUGGUGUUGCGGGGCGUUUCACUUUUGGGAGCAUCCUCCCGCCCUUUGGGGGGGGUGGGGAACCACCAGGAAUUUUAUUAAAAAAAAAGAAGAUUCAAAACAGCCCUCUUUUGGAAGACAACAUCAGCGAGGAAUAAAAUAAUAGGAGGGGUUGUUUUUUUUUGGUUUUUUGUAGGAUCGCAGUGAUGAAUAAGGGGGGUGGUGGGCGGCAGUAGUCUUCCGUCAGAGGAGGAGAUAUUGGUAGGUUUGUGGAAGAAUAACUGCGGAGAAAGCAUUCAAGGGGGUUUUCUUCAUUCAUCAAGAGAGAAGGAUGGGGGAUCAAAAGAUCUGAGAUAGUGGUAUUGUUAAACAGAAAUAACCGGAUAAGAUUC
RNAcentral lists this ribosomal RNA (502 nucleotides) under uncultured fungus. Its description in RNAcentral is "partial 18S ribosomal RNA". It matches the Rfam family "Eukaryotic small subunit ribosomal RNA", at positions 539 to 1058 of the family's 1831-position model. Lineage: Eukaryota; Fungi. The record is from RNAcentral.